AUGUUGAUGCUCUGUAGACAGAGCAAAUCACAUCACACACGGACUAAACAAUGGAACCCGUCAGUGAUGAUUUCAUCAAUCACUGACAAUUGUAUACUAGCAAUCAUUUGCUCACAACACACACGGCUUGUUAACAGGAAUCGGCUGUGUUGUUAUCGGUCUUCCCACACGUUUCCGAUUACAGACCUGUUUGCCGCGUAUCACACACAUCUUGUUAAGUUGAACCGUUUUUGUUCUCUUGGCUCAACGCAAACAGUUCAUCCGAGUGAACUGUAUGCCGUAUAUCGCACACACCUUGAUCUUCUUUUGUGUUGCCUAAUCACAAGUAGUUCAUCCGAGUGA
Molecule: ribosomal RNA, 342 nt
Filed under: Triticum aestivum (bread wheat)
Lineage: Eukaryota; Viridiplantae; Streptophyta; Magnoliopsida; Poales; Poaceae
Description: partial small subunit ribosomal RNA
Source: RNAcentral